GACGAACGCUGGCGGCGUGCCUAAUACAUGCAAGUUGAGCGCUGAAGGUUGGUACUUGUACCAACUGGAUGAGCAGCGAACGGGUGAGUAACGCGUGGGGAAUCUGCCUUUGAGCGGGGUACAACAUUUGGAAACGAAUGCUAAUACCGCAUAAAAACUUUAAACACAAGUUUUAAGUUUGAAAUAUGCAAUUGCAUCACUCAAAGAUGAUCCCGCGUUGUAUUAGCUAGUUGGUGAGGUAAAGGCGCACCAAGGCGAUGAUACAUAGCCGACCUGAGAGGGUGAUCGGCCACAUUGGGACUGAGACACGGCCCAAACUCCUACGGGAGGCAGCCGUACGGAAUCUUCGGCAAUGGACGAAAGUCUGACCGCGCAACGCCGCGUGAGUGAACAAGGUUUUCGGAUCGUAAAACUCUGUUGGUAGAGAAGAACGUUGGUGAGAGUGUAAAGCUCAGCAAGUGACGGUAACUACCCAGAAAGGGACGGCUAACUACGUG
This 497-nucleotide ribosomal RNA is filed under the name uncultured bacterium. Its description in RNAcentral is "partial 16S ribosomal RNA". It matches the Rfam family "Bacterial small subunit ribosomal RNA", at positions 28 to 507 of the family's 1533-position model. The record is from RNAcentral.